Molecule: ribosomal RNA, 253 nt
Filed under: uncultured bacterium
Lineage: Bacteria
Description: partial 16S ribosomal RNA
Rfam family: Bacterial small subunit ribosomal RNA
Source: RNAcentral
UACAGAGGUCCCAAGCGUUGUUCGGAUUCACUGGGCGUAAAGGGUGCGUAGGCGGUCGGGUAAGUCUGAUGUGAAAGCCCUUGGCUCAACUGAGGAAGUGCAUCUGAAACUGGCGAGCUAGAGUAUGUAAGAGGGUCGCGGAAUUCCCGGUGUAGAGGUGAAAUUCGUAGAUAUCGGGAGGAACACCGGUGGCGAAGGCGGCGACCUGGGACAAUACUGACGCUGAGGUGCGAAAGCGUGGGGAGCAAACAGG